UGCCUGUCACCGGAUAGCUUGAUAUAUGGGAUUUGGUAUAGUACCUUAGAUCGGUAUAGUACCUUAGAUCCCUUGUGUGAUUUAAUGGCAGAUUGUUCAUCGAUUUUAUUUUUAAUUUAUUUAUUCAUUAUUAUUUUUAUUGGGUCUAACAAUGGUAUGAGAGCGAGGUCACCCGAGAGACAAAGCUAAUCUCAUUGAUAGGCAUCCCAACUUGUUUACAAUGAAUGCUUUUGAAGCCAUCCUAAAGGAGCUUCGGAAGAUAGUCACAGAGCUGCGUCGUGCAUACUAUUUGCUAUAUGAGACAUGCCUUUUUGUGCUCGGGCAUCAUGCAUAGUCAUUUUGGUCAUCCUAAUCAAGCUAUGGAGGCAUGGAUUUCUCAGCGAAAUCAUGAUGAUUCCUGCCUUGCAUGCUCCAUGGCGCUGUUUGUGACCUUUUAUUUGAUAAAGGAGUCUCAACUACAACUGGAAUGAUUGGAUCCACGUAUUCACCUGGGGUGAUAUUGGUAGGGGUUCUUCCUUGUCUACCCAACAACAAUUGCUGGUGCUUCUAAAGAAAUCUCUGAAGAGUGCAGAGAGUUUUGAAACUAACACGGCUUGUGGCCUUCUAUCGCCUUGCAAUGGCGAAAUUUGAUCUUAGGUGUGUUAAGAGAUCAUUGGUUUCUUUUGCUCCUAAAGCACCUAUCAAGCUGAGAUCAUGCCCAAUCGAAGUUUGUGAGGAAUUGAGAUUAAGUUCUUAUCUACUUAGUGAAUUUGGCUCAGAUGGGAGCUCGUUUCUGGCUGAUGGUAUUUUCAGUGUUACAUGGCUGAACAGUCUACAAAAAUAAAGAAUGCCAUCCAUUAUGUCAUCAGAAAAUGGAGUAGAAACCAGUUAUGAUGCAUUUUACUUUGUUGGUCAGCCAAGUCCGAUUUCUGGAUGUGUUUUGCAGCUGGUUGGAACUUCAUAUUUGCUUAAAUAUGCUUCGUGGGAAUCUUUUGACAUGUUUGUUAUGUAAAGCUUUUGUGGUGCAGCAGGCAAGGUCAAGUUAAGGCUGUGUCGUGAUCAUAGUCAAGUUAAUCAAGGUGGGAUUGAUUUUUGGGCCAAGAUGCUUUAAAUUGGCUGAUCAAACUCUUUCAUUGAUGUUAAGCAUGUUUCCAUAGGUAGUUAAGCCGCUCGGCUUCUCACUAGCAUUAUGCCCCUUACAUGAUACCAAGGCUAAGGCGACUUUUCACCAGCAUUAAGCUUUCUUUCUCGUCACUGCCCAAACAGUGAUGCCAUGUCUACUGUCUGUCUGCCCCCCCCCCCCCUUUUAGAGUUGGAAACAGUUCUGAUGUUUUUCCUACUCUACUCUAGUUGGUGUUAACUUUGAAACCACUUUUCUCCACCAAAAUCUCCAAGCCAUCUAUUCAUUUUGAGUUCAAUGUCAAGUCCAAACCCAAACCAAACAUCGAGGUCAAAUCAAUACAGUGUCAUGUUCGCCACAAGUUACUUUGGGCAUGCAAAUCAGACUUACAAUGGUUCACUGGGCUUGGUGGUGUCAAACUCGUCAAGAAACUCUAUUGUUGAUUGGAUUUUCAAGUCAGGAGCAUUUAAUACCUCAAAGACAGCGAGAGCAUCUCGUACAUCUGGGUCCAUCUAUUAAUGCAUAGAUACUAUUUGUCACUUUUAGAAAAGUUUUGAGCUCUUGGUUCCUUUUGAAACUUGAGUUCAUAGUUCAAAGUUCGAGCUGUGAGCUCUUUCUGAACCUUGUGUUCAUUUUCAGACAAAAUACAGGCUCUACUCUCAAGUUGAA
This is a non-coding RNA of Amborella trichopoda, 1768 nucleotides long. The record is from RefSeq and is a predicted model, not a curated record. Lineage: Eukaryota; Viridiplantae; Streptophyta; Magnoliopsida; Amborellales; Amborellaceae.